CAUACAUCUUAUCUCGACCAAUAUAAUCAUGAUGUAGAGUGCACAUGAGCACGAUAUCAUAAAACUUGUCGUUUAUUUGCCAACUGGUUAUCGGCAAGUCGUCUUAGCUAAUAGCGGUAGACAAUCGAAAGCAUGUGUCAUGGAGGGAAUCAUGUCGAACAAUGAGCAAAGGACAUGUGUAGAACUGAUAAAAUUAUUAAGGUCACGUGUCUGCGGAUAAAGACGUCGAAGAAAGCAUGACAUCUUUUCUGAAGUCACUGACAAGAAAAUCCACCUCUUCAGCCGCAUGCUCAACAAGUAGUUCUUAAGGCGGCGCAGUACUGUAUUUUUACUAUGAUCGAACCAGCAGCACAAGCAAGACUUUUUCAAAAACUGGGUCAUUCUCGAGAUAGUUGUGAUAUCGUUAUUUCUUUUCUAAGGGAUUGGAUGACAACUAACGUUUUAUUAUUUGGUGCUUUUGCUGUCGUCAUUGUUGCUGUUGUAGUAGCAGUACUAGCAAAUAUAAUUGGUUCAUUUUGUUUUAUUCCGUCAUAAAAAUGACAGUUACAUACACAUUCCCGUUAAAAUCCAUGUCGGCUCGUUUUAAAUUAGUUCAUGGCGUUUUCAUAAUGUAAAAUACUGGUUUAUACCAUAUCUAAAGUAUGUCGUUAUAUAUGAUUAUUAAUCAUAUAAUGUAUGCCAUAUAAUAAUUGUUUUCUUUUAAUCGGAUGCAGGUUUUAUCAAUCGUGUAUCUAAAUAAACUUCGCUGGCUUGGAUCUAAAAUAUCAUGUAGACUUAACACUAUAUGUUAUGAAUAUGAACUGAUGCGCCAUUGUGUAGGUAAAAUCACUAUAUAUGCAUCUUUCAACCAAUCCAUGUUUAAUUAUCCAUUGGGUUCAUGCGUAGCUUAAAAACGCGAAAAAGAUCAUUUAU
This is a long non-coding RNA of Dreissena polymorpha, 912 nucleotides long. RefSeq lists it as uncharacterized. Lineage: Eukaryota; Metazoa; Mollusca; Bivalvia; Myida; Dreissenidae. The record is from RefSeq and is a predicted model, not a curated record. The transcript has 3 exons.